Molecule: ribosomal RNA, 496 nt
Filed under: uncultured bacterium
Lineage: Bacteria
Description: partial 16S ribosomal RNA
Source: RNAcentral
GUAGUUAGCCGGAGCUUCCUCCUUGGCUACCGUCAUUAUCUUCACCAAGGACAGAGGUUUACAAUCCGAAAACCUUCUUCCCUCACGCGGCGUUGCUGGGUCAGGCUUGCGCCCAUUGCCCAAUAUUCCCCACUGCUGCCUCCCGUAGGAGUCUGGACCGUGUCUCAGUUCCAGUGUGGCCGAUCAGCCUCUCAGCUCGGCUACCCAUCGCAGGCUUGGUGGGCUGUUAUCUCACCAACUACCUAAUGGGACGCGAACCCCUCCUUCAGCGGAUUGCUCCUUUGACCUCAUCCCGAUGCCGGGUCGUGGUCUUAUGCGGUAUUAGCACUUGUUUCCAGGUGUUAUCCCCCUCUGAAGGUCAGGUUGUUCACGCGUUACUCACCCGUUUCGCCACUAAAAUUUAUCUUCCAUCCGAAAACUUCCGAUAAAUCUCCGUUCGACUUGCAUGUGUUAGGCACGCCGCCAGCGUUCGUCCUGAGCCAGGAUCAAACUCUGA